CUAGCGGCGUAGAUAAGGCAUGCAAGUCGAACGCUCCGAUUUAUCGGAGAGUGGCGAACGGGUUAGUAACACGUAGAUACGUACCUCGAAGUCUCGCAUAACCUAUCGAAAGAUAGGCUAAUUCGAGAUAGUCCCGCAAGGGUAAAGAUUUAUCGCUUCGAGAACGGUCUGCGGUCUAUCAGCUUGUUGGUAAGGUAAAGGCUUACCAAGGCUAUGACGGAUAGGGGACAGGAGAGUGUGAUCCCCAACAAGGGCACUGCGACACGGGCCCUACUCC
This 277-nucleotide ribosomal RNA is filed under the name uncultured bacterium. RNAcentral describes it as "partial 16S ribosomal RNA". It matches the Rfam family "Bacterial small subunit ribosomal RNA", at positions 36 to 339 of the family's 1533-position model. The record is from RNAcentral.